This 252-nucleotide ribosomal RNA is filed under the name uncultured bacterium. Its description in RNAcentral is "partial 16S ribosomal RNA". It matches the Rfam family "Bacterial small subunit ribosomal RNA", at positions 524 to 772 of the family's 1533-position model. The record is from RNAcentral.
GACGAACCGUGCGAACGUUAUUCGGAAUCACUGGGCUUAAAGCGCGUGUAGGCGGGCCGCCACGUCGGCUGCUGAAAUCCCCCGGCUCAACCGGGGAACGGGCACCGAUACGAGCGGCCUGGAGGGGGUAGGGGGCACUGGAACUUCCGGUGGAGCGGUGAAAUGCGUUGAGAUCGGAAGGAACGCCCGUGGCGAAAGCGAGUGCCUGGACCCUUACGUGACGCUGAGACGCGAAAGCCAGGGGAGAGCGAA